CUUCACAGAAAGCCUCAAUUGCAGAACAAGGACUGGAUCCAAGUCUCUUGACUCCUGGCCCAGUAUCCCAUCUGGAACGGGACCUUGUUCUUGACUUGGAGCUCCAUGCCACUGUUAUGCUUUUAUGCAACAGGAUUGUUCACACAUCUGUUCCACUUGUAUGCAGAAAUGCUAGUGUGCACUAUGGGGGCCGUUUCAAACUGGUGGAAUUGGAUGCUGUGAUCAGCCAUAUGCUGCAAAAACUAUUCUUUUGUCAGCAUGUCUGUGUGGAAUUGCUUCAGGAGCUGGAAACAUUCAAAGCAACAACGUUCAGUGCUGAAUGCUCAAGACUGUUGAUGUGAAAGGGACUUUUGGUCUAGUUCCAUACUUCGCAAGCACUUCAUAUAUAAGUUGCUCUGUCCAGCUCUUGUCCAAUAGUUCUGCUGUCGCUUUGGAGGGAUUUGGUCAGACCCCAGAGAAGUCAAGAGAGAACAAAGCUGACAUAAAAACCCCGCUGACUGUGCAGGUCAAGUGGAAGAUAAAGUUACUUUUAUCAGUUCAGAGUAUGCAUAGCAUCAAUAUUGCAUUUGUAUAAGCACUUAGCUGCUGCGUGCUAUAAGUUACCACCCUAACUCUGCCUGAAGACUUUCAUUAUUGCUCUUCACAAACUUUCUGUAUAUAGUCUCCUUCUGGAAACCCUAUUCAAUUGGUAAGAG
Molecule: long non-coding RNA, 695 nt
Filed under: Struthio camelus australis
Lineage: Eukaryota; Metazoa; Chordata; Aves; Struthioniformes; Struthionidae
Description: lncRNA (ENSSCUG00000017449.1)
Source: RNAcentral